This 495-nucleotide ribosomal RNA is filed under the name uncultured bacterium. RNAcentral describes it as "partial 16S ribosomal RNA". It matches the Rfam family "Bacterial small subunit ribosomal RNA", at positions 28 to 505 of the family's 1533-position model. The record is from RNAcentral.
GACGAACGCUGGCGGCGUGCCUAAUACAUGCAAGUUGAGCGAUGAAGAUUGGUGCUUGCACCAAUUUGAAGAGCAGCGCACGGGUGAGUAACGCGUGGGGAAUCUGCCUUUGAGCGGGGGACAACAUUUGGAAACGAAUGCUAAUACCGCAUAACAACUUUAAACAUAAGUUUUAAGUUUGAAAGAUGCAAUUGCAUCACUCAAAGAUGAUCCCGCGUUGUAUUAGCUAGUUGGUGAGGUAAAGGCUCACCAAGGCGAUGAUACAUAGCCGACCUGAGAGGGUGAUCGGCCACAUUGGGACUGAGAAACGGCCCAAACUCCUACGGGAGGCAGCAGUAGGGAAUCUUCGGCAAUGGACGAAAGUCUGACCGAGCAACGCCGCGUGAGUGAAGAAGGUUUUCGGAUCGUAAAACUCUGUUGGUAGAGAAGAACGUUGGUGAGAGUGGAAAGCUCAUAAAGUGACGGUAACUACCCAGAAAGGGACGGCUAACUACG